This 504-nucleotide ribosomal RNA is filed under the name uncultured bacterium. RNAcentral describes it as "bacterial SSU rRNA". It matches the Rfam family "Bacterial small subunit ribosomal RNA", at positions 107 to 607 of the family's 1533-position model. The record is from RNAcentral.
UGAGUAAUGUCUGGGAAACUGCCUGAUGGAGGGGGAUAACUACUGGAAACGGUAGCUAAUACCGCAUAACGUCUUCGGACCAAAGUGGGGGACCUUCGGGCCUCACACCAUCGGAUGUGCCCAGAUGGGAUUAGCUAGUAGGUGGGGUAAUGGCUCACCUAGGCGACGACCCCUAGCUGGUCUGAGAGGAUGACCAGCCACACUGGAACUGAGACACGGUCCAGACUCCUACGGGAGGCAGCAGUGGGGAAUAUUGCACAAUGGGCGCAAGCCUGAUGCAGCCAUGCCGCGUGUAUGAAGAAGGCCUUCGGGUUGUAAAGUACUUUCAGUGGGGAGGAAGGCGUUAAGGUUAAUAGCCUUGGCGAUUGACGUUACCCGCAGAAGAAGCACCGGCUAACUCCGUGCCAGCAGCCGCGGUAAUACGGAGGGUGCAAGCGUUAAUCGGAAUUACUGGGCAUAAAGCGCACGCAGGCGGUCUGUCAAGUCGGAUGUGAAAUCCCCGGG